UUCUAUAUAUUAAAAAACGAAUCGAUUGAACAGUAUUCACACAGUAAACUUUACUUUAUAUUUAAGGGUUUUUAUUUACACAUAAAUUAAAACCGUGAGGGAUAAUAGAAAGAGAGGGGGAGGGAGACUGGAUAAACUGUGUCACAGAGGAGAGAGCCGCUCGUCGGCGGCGGCGAAGAGGGACAGAGCGAUCGGAUCAUCGGACAGAAAAACAGAGAGAUGCUCAGAGAUCGGAUGCGGAGACUGGUCGACGGCUUCCCCGCCGGCGACGAUUGUAUUGUAUCUCGAUCUAUGGUAACUUAGUGUGAAGCCAAUAAAAGCCAGCUGGAGAGCACUGAAGGCUUAGAAAAGUGGCAAUAAAAGUUACCUAAUUAAAAUGAGAAUUGUUUUCAAUAAUUGGGGUCAUUCCCUAUAGAUGUAUCAAAAUGAAAAUCGGGUUUUGUCCCACUUAUAAAUGUAUUACCAGAAAAACUUGGGUUUUAUCCCAUUUCUUUAAUUUAAAUAUUUUUGGUGUUUA
RNAcentral lists this long non-coding RNA (517 nucleotides) under Helianthus annuus (common sunflower). The record is from RNAcentral. Lineage: Eukaryota; Viridiplantae; Streptophyta; Magnoliopsida; Asterales; Asteraceae.